RNAcentral lists this ribosomal RNA (253 nucleotides) under uncultured bacterium. RNAcentral's name for it is "partial 16S ribosomal RNA". It matches the Rfam family "Bacterial small subunit ribosomal RNA", at positions 524 to 776 of the family's 1533-position model. The record is from RNAcentral.
UACGUAGGGGGCAAGCGUUGUCCGGAAUUAUUGGGCGUAAAGAGCUCGUAGGCGGUUUGUCGCGUCUGCUGUGAAAUCCCGAAGCUCAACCUCGGGCUUGCAGUGGGUACGGGCAGACUAGAGUGCGGUAGGGGAGAUUGGAAUUCCUGGUGUAGCGGUGGAAUGCGCAGAUAUCAGGAGGAAUACCGAUGGCGAAGGCAGAUCUCUGGGCCGUAACUGACGCUGAUGAGCGAAAGCAUGGGGAUCGAACAGG